GGGCCCUCCCCGCGCACGCGCACGCGCAGCGCAGCGUGCUCCUUCGGUGUACGUUAGCGAGCUGUGGAGAACCGAGGAGUAACGGUAGGGCGGCCGAAGGCUGCGGUUGGGAUAAGGACAACAGCCCCCACUCAGCAGGAAGCAGUUUCAGAAGAUGAGGAAUAAGGAGGGACUCCAGAAGGGUGUCUGGGACCCAUAUGGACAACUGGAUGCAAACCUCUUCAUAGCUGACAUCAGCCAUUAAUCCUUUGCUUCAGUGUCACUGUGCUAGCUGGUGGGACAUUUGAUCACCCAUAGUAUACUGGAGUUAUUUCUGUAUGUAUCUAUUGCUGUUAUAAGACUUGUGAACUUUCUGAAGACAUGAUCCAGCAAGUAACAAAGAGAUGCGCCAAAAGCAAACAUUCAAUACAUGAAUUGAAUUGGGAAAGAGAUAAAAGGUUUCAAUGCAGGGCCAGAAAGGUCCUUUUGAAGCUUACAUCAGAGAAGAAUGCUGAUUCAAUUGUUGGCAGCCAUCUUGUAACCAGCCAUUGAUAAGCAGCUUCUAAAAUGGCCUUCAACCAUCUCAUCUCCUGGGAUUCAAACUCUUGAGGGUAGGCAAUACUUACUUUUUAAAAGAUAUAAUGAGGCAGAAGUGAUGUGAUGCAUUUUCAGAACUAGGUUAUAAAAUGACUGUGGUUUCCUUCCUGGGCAUUCUCACCCUCUGUAUUUGUUCACUUUGGGAAACUCCAAAUGCCAUCUCAGGAGGCAGUCAUGUGGAGAGACCCAUGUAUGGGAUAGAAUUCCACCCCCACCCCCACCCCGACAAGGUGACAGUUUAACUACAACCUCAUAAGAGACCUUAAGUCAAAGGCACCACCUGGCUAAGCCGUACCUAAACAGCUAACCCACAAAACUUAUGUUUAUUUAAGUUUUGGGGUAAUUUGUCACAUAACAACAGAUAAGUAAUACACAGCUUAGAAGAGGAAAAAAUAGAAAAUAAUAGGGUGAGAGCCCUGACCAUACAGACCUGGAAACCAUUCAACUUCUGGACUUUCUAGGGUACCUGCGUGGCUCAGUCAGUUAUUUGUCUGACUUCAGCUCAGGUCAUCAAGUCCUGGAAUUAAGUCCCACAUUAGGCUCUGUGAUCAAUGGGGAAUUUGCUUGCACUCCAUCCCUCCCCCUGCUCAUGCUUUCCCUCAUUCUCUCUCAAAUAUUUAAAAAUUAAAAAAUUAAAAAAACAACUUCUCAAUUUUCUGUAAUGUGAAGUAAUA
Long non-coding RNA from Canis lupus familiaris (dog), 1250 nucleotides. RefSeq lists it as uncharacterized. The transcript is spliced from 4 exons. Lineage: Eukaryota; Metazoa; Chordata; Mammalia; Carnivora; Canidae. The record is from RefSeq and is a predicted model, not a curated record.